Non-coding RNA from Cinara cedri, 277 nucleotides. The record is from the annotation of a GenBank genome assembly. Lineage: Eukaryota; Metazoa; Arthropoda; Insecta; Hemiptera; Aphididae.
GUCAAAACUAUUUUGGAAAUAUAACGAUACUUCCCUAUAAUAUUUUGACGUAAAAAUUACAUUUGGUUGUCUUGUCGAUUACCAUAUCCCGUGUGUACAGGGUAUAGCUACUAUUUUAUGUGAACGAAUUCUUAAGUAUACCUGCAGUAUUGUAUAUUGUUAUUGUAACUUCCUGAAAAUAUAUCUAUAUAGCUAGGAUUCAAAACUAUACGAAAAGUCAAAUUUGCUAUGUAUUGUGUAUAUAAAAAUACCCGUAUGCAAAAAUCCAUUGAGCUCA